RNAcentral lists this ribosomal RNA (467 nucleotides) under uncultured bacterium. RNAcentral's name for it is "partial 16S ribosomal RNA". It matches the Rfam family "Bacterial small subunit ribosomal RNA", at positions 28 to 523 of the family's 1533-position model. The record is from RNAcentral.
GAUGAAUGCUGGCGGCGUGCCUAACACAUGCAAGUCGAGCGGCAGCGCGAGUAGUUUACUACUUGGCGGCGAGCGGCGGACGGCUGAGUAACGCGUGGGAACGUGCCCCAAAGUGAGGGAUAACGCACCGAAAGGUGUGCUAAUACCGCAUAUGAUCUUCGGACUAAAGAAUUUAUCCGCUUUGGAAGCGGCCCGCGUCGGAUUAGGUAGUUGGUAGGGUAAUGGCCUACCAAGCCGAAGAUCCGUAGCUGGUCUGAGAGGAUGACCAGCCAGUCUGAAACUGAGACACGGGCCAGACUCCUACAGGAGGCAGCAGUGAGGAAUCUUCCACAAUGGGCGAAAGCCUGAUGUAGCAACGCCGCGUGCAGGGUGAAGGCCUUCGGGUUGUAAACUGCUUUUAUAAGUGAAGAAUAUGACCGUACCUUAUGAAUAAGCACCGGCUAACUACGUGCCAGCAGCCGCCGUAA